AACCUGGUUGAUCCUGCCAGUAGUCAUAUGCUUGUCUCAAAGACUAAGCCAUGCAUGUCUAAGUAUAAGUAUUAUACAGCGAAAUUGCGAAUGGCUCAUUAAAACAGUUAUAAUUUAUUUGAUAAUCGAAUUUACAUGGAUAACCGUGGUAAUUCUAGAGCUAAUACAUGCUGGUAGGCCUGACUUUUUGGAAGGGCGGUAUUUAUUAGAUAACAAACCAAUAUUCCUCUGGUCUAUUGUGGUGAAUCAUAAUAACUGAUCGAAUCGCAAGGUUUUUAACCGCGAUAAGUCAUUCAAGUUUCUGCCCCAUCAGCUUUCGAUGGUAGUGUAUUGGACUACCAUGGCUUUUACGGGUAACGGAGGAUUAGGGUUCGAUUCCGGAGAAAGUGCAUGAGAUAUGGCACUUACAGCUAAGGCUGGCAGCAGGAGCGUA
Molecule: ribosomal RNA, 433 nt
Filed under: uncultured marine eukaryote
Lineage: Eukaryota
Description: bacterial SSU rRNA
Rfam family: Eukaryotic small subunit ribosomal RNA
Source: RNAcentral